CUUCUUCCCUCAGAGACUCACCGCACUGUGUUAAACCAGAUCCUACGGCAGUCCACAACCCACCUUGCUGAUGGGCCUUUUGCUGUCCUGGUAGACUACAUUCGUGUCCUCGACUUUGAUGUCAAGCGCAAAUAUUUCCGCCAAGAGCUGGAGCGUUUAGAUGAGGGGCUCCGGAAAGAAGACAUGGCUGUGCAUGUCCGUCGUGACCAUGUGUUUGAAGACUCCUAUCGUGAGCUGCAUCGCAAAUCCCCCGAAGAAAUGAAGAAUCGAUUGUAAGGGCCCAGGAACAGAGAAAAGAUGGCGGGUGGGAGGUGGGGCCUCCUGCACAGUAGUGAUGGCUUGCUCUAGCCUCAAAUUUAGGGAGGUGCUACCCUCCCUAAUAGGAAUUCCCCAUAGGAAUCUGGUUUUAGAUAAUCUUACUGAGUUGUCUCCUAUCUUCUGGGCCUGCCCUGCUGGCUGGCCCUUUAGCUAAGCUACCCAGCAAUUCCCAGACAGACAGGAAAGUCUUUGGUGUUUAUAAGGAUAUACCUGCUGGCUUUGCAAUGAGAGCUUUAACAUUGCUAU
This 564-nucleotide small RNA is filed under the name Pongo abelii (Sumatran orangutan). RNAcentral's name for it is "retained intron". The record is from RNAcentral. Lineage: Eukaryota; Metazoa; Chordata; Mammalia; Primates; Hominidae.